This 372-nucleotide ribosomal RNA is filed under the name uncultured bacterium. Its description in RNAcentral is "bacterial SSU rRNA". It matches the Rfam family "Bacterial small subunit ribosomal RNA", at positions 524 to 898 of the family's 1533-position model. The record is from RNAcentral.
GACGAAGGAUGCAAGCGUUAUCCGGAUUCAUUGGGUUUAAAGGGAGCGUAGGCGGCCUUAUAAGUCAGUGGUGAAAUCUCCUCGCUUAACGAGGAAAUUGCCAUUGAUACUGUAGGGCUUGAGUACAGUUGCCGUUGGCGGAAUAUGACAUGUAGUGGUGAAAUACAUAGAGAUGUCAUAGAACACCGAUUGCGAAGGCAGCUAACGAAGCUGUAACUGACGCUGAGGCUCGAAAGUGCGGGGAUCAAACAGGAUUAGAUACCCUGGUAGUCCGCACUGUAAACGAUGAUUACUCGCUGCUGGAUGGCAACAUUCAGUGGCUUAGCGAAAGCGAUAAGUAAUCCACCUGGGGAGUACGCCGGCAACGGUGAA